This 254-nucleotide ribosomal RNA is filed under the name uncultured bacterium. RNAcentral describes it as "partial 16S ribosomal RNA". It matches the Rfam family "Bacterial small subunit ribosomal RNA", at positions 524 to 776 of the family's 1533-position model. The record is from RNAcentral.
UACGUAGGCAGCAAGCGUUGUUCGGAGUUACUGGGCGUAAAGAGUAUGUAGGCGGUGUCCUAAGUUCGGUGUGAAAUCUCCCGGCUCAACUGGGAGGGUGCGCCGAAGACUGGGAUGCUGGAGUCUCGGAGAGGAACGCGGAAUUCCUGGUGUAGCGGUGAAAUGCGUAGAUAUCAGGAGGAACACCAGUGGUGUAGACGGCGUUCUGGACGAGUACUGACGCUGAGAUACGAAAGCGUGGGGGAGCAAACAGG